AUUAGCGCAAAAAGCAAACGGUUGAAAGUAACGUUUGGAUUGUCUCAUUGUGAUUUUUAUGUAUACGCCUGAAAGAGGUGAGAUUCUGCAAUUCAUGCGAACUAGGUGUCUGUUAUAUUUUUCCCCUGCGUUAUUUAUUAUUUUUUAACCAGGGCACAUAGUUUGGAGUUUAUCGACAUAUUCGUAAACUAUCUUCUCCGCUUGUGUAAAAAAUUUGCGCCUUGAGUUCGUGUCUUGACCGAUAACACAAAAAAUCAACCAACACGACAAAAUCUGAUUACAUUUUUCGGUAUGCAGCUUUUCGGAUUGCCUCAUGAUGCUUUUCGUGUAGACUUGUUCCAGAGGUGGAAGCUUGGCAAUUUCUCUGGUGUAGUCUGCCCCUUCAUUUUUAUCAAACGUUUAUCGUCUCUAUCUCUCCUACUCCUCUUUGUGCUCGUCACUCUCUUUUAACACCUCUAAUCUUCAGCUCUUAUGUAACCUUAUUGUGUUGCAAGUGCCGUUAAACCCUUACUAAUACUAGAAAUCUUCCAGGGGCCAAAGUCUGGAGCUAACCAACAAGACGGUGAAGUGGCCUGGGGGAGUGAUCAGAAUCCCGUUUGGAAGGCCCGAGUGUGGUUGGGAUGGAACCCUCUGCGAAAACAAGACAAACAUUAUCGUAAGUGCAGUGUCCUGUGUCAUCGCCCUUCUCGUCAUCGCUCUCGUCAUCAGCCUACUGUACUGGAGGGCCGCUAAGAAAAGGCGAGAGUCAAGUAAAGCCUGGAUUGUCCACUACGACGACCUGGUACACAAGGACCACCGAAUUGGAAGGUCAAGGAUAAACAUGGGCUCCGUCAGGAACAUGAGCCCGACCCUGUCUCGAAGUGAGUCCCAUUUCUCCAUGGAUUCCUCGCAUGGUCAAGUGUUUGCUGACCACUGCUUCUAUCACAACGAAGAGGUGGCGGGGAAGCCUGUCACCCGCAGAGAGAAACUGGCCUAUAUAACUAAUCAGAUGACCAGAGAAGU
This is a long non-coding RNA of Aplysia californica (California sea hare), 1002 nucleotides long. RefSeq lists it as uncharacterized. The transcript has 4 exons. NCBI's taxonomy places the organism in Eukaryota, Metazoa, Mollusca, Gastropoda, Aplysiida, Aplysiidae. The record is from RefSeq and is a predicted model, not a curated record.